CAGUGAAAUUGAACUCGCUGUGAAGAUGCAGUGUACCCGCGGCAAGACGGAAAGACCCCGUGAACCUUUACUAUAGCUUGACACUGAACAUUGAGCCUUGAUGUGUAGGAUAGGUGGGAGGCUUUGAAGUGUGGACGCCAGUCUGCAUGGAGCCGACCUUGAAAUACCACCCUUUAAUGUUUGAUGUUCUAACGUGGACCCGUGAUCCGGGUUGCGGACAGUGUCUGGUGGGUAGUUUGACUGGGGCGGUCUCCUCCUAAAGAGUAACGGAGGAGCACGAAGGUUGGCUAAUCCUGGUCGGACAUCAGGAGGUUAGUGCAAUGGCAUAAGCCAGCUUGACUGCGAGCGUGACGGCGCGAGCAGGUGCGAAAGCAGGUCAUAGUGAUCCGGUGGUUCUGAAUGGAAGGGCCAUCGCUCAACGGAUAAAAGGUACUCCGGGGAUAACAGGCUGAUACCGCCCAAGAGUUCAUAUCGACGGCGGUGUUUGGCACCUCGAUGUCGGCUCAUCACAUCCUGGGGCUGAAGUAGGUCCCAAGGGUAUGGCUGUUCGCCAUUUAAAGUGGUACGCGAGCUGGGUUUAGAACGUCGUGAGACAGUUCGGUCCCUAUCUGCCGUGGGCGCUGGAGAACUGAGGGGGGCUGCUCCUAGUACGAGAGGACCGGAGUGGACGCAUCACUGGUGUUCGGGUUGUCAUGCCAAUGGCACUGCCCGGUAGCUAAAUGCGGAAGAGAUAAGUGCUGAAAGCAUCUAAGCACGAAACUUGCCCCGAGAUGAGUUCUCCCUGACCCUUUAAGGGUCCUGAAGGAACGUUGAAGACGACGACGUUGAUAGGCCGGGUGUGUAAGCG
RNAcentral lists this ribosomal RNA (847 nucleotides) under Shigella flexneri. Its description in RNAcentral is "partial 23S ribosomal RNA". It matches the Rfam family "Bacterial large subunit ribosomal RNA", at positions 2034 to 2875 of the family's 2925-position model. The record is from RNAcentral. Lineage: Bacteria; Pseudomonadati; Pseudomonadota; Gammaproteobacteria; Enterobacterales; Enterobacteriaceae.